CGAACGAAUGAAGCGAUGGGGCAUUAUCUUUCGUGUGCGAUUGACGAUGGAAAGCAAUCUGACAGUGAAUAAUGGAAUGGGGCGCGGGGCAUUGUGAAGUGCCAACUGCAUAUUCAAUCAUGGAUUGGAGAUACAGUGACGCUGGUUGGUGGAUGGUGAUAAAUAAAAAAUGAGGUUGAGGAGAAAAAAAUAAAUAUUGUUGAGAGAAGUCGAUUCGUACGAUUUCAACGCGUUUAGUUGGAGAAAGGAAAAGUGGAGAAAUUGAUGCUUUUGUCAGUUGAAAGGAGAUAACUACAGCAAUAAUUGAUUUUUGGGAAUUAGACGUCGAUUCGGUCAUGAAAAAACAAAAGAAAAAAAGUUUGAUCAUCAAUUUGGGAGAAAAAUUAUUUAUAAUUGAAUUUUAAAGUAUAAAAUUGUUAAAUGGAGUGGAUUACUUUGAUUUUUGUUGGAGAGGUCAACUGACUCAUGAUAAAAAAUAGAAAAUGCAUUAGAUUUCUUUAAACUGCACAGUUGGAGAAAGAAAAAGUGAAUGAAUCGAUGCUUUCGUUAGUUGAGAGGAAAUAACUAAAGAAAUGAUUGAUUGUUGGGGCUUAAAAUGUCGCUCGACUCACGAAAAAGUUAAAAAAAAAUUUGAUCGCCUAUUUCGGGAGAAAAUAAUUUAUGAUAAAUUUUUGAAAUAUAAAAUAGUCAAGUGAAGUAGAUUAAUACGAUUUAUGUUGGAAAGGUCAACUGCUUAAUGAUAGAAACCCGUAAACGUACCAUAAAUUCCCGAAAAAAAAAAAAAUUAUUGGGCAGUGCCCAUAGUCAAGGACAGCAGCUUAACGACAGUCUUAAAUUUUAUUAGACCCGAAAGAAAUAAUUCCAAAGUAUAAAAAUUUCCGGUAUUGGUGUCCGCACCGCAGCAGAUGUCUCUACCUGGCCCAAGGGCGGCCGCAGUUAAUGAAUGCCCACUUCUUCAGCCAUCGAAAAAAACCCAACAUUUCCCCUUGUUUCACCUUCCAAAAAAAAACCCUCCCCCUCCCUCACCAACAGCCAUUCCGCGGCAAUUUUCAUUCCCAGAAAUUGGAUUUUUCUUUUACGACCCGGUGUAAAUCUUCCGUCCGCGCACCCUAAGCCACCAACCACCCUCACCCCUCCCUCAUUACCCAUUAAUUCAAAAAUCCCCAUUUCCUGAGAUAAAAAAUCUCGAAAAACGUGUAAUAAAUUGAAAUAAAAAAAAUCGGCUUAUUUUCCCCGGAGUUUCGAUUCAUAACUCUCGAUAGCCGCCGGAUGACAGCAAUGAAUUCCUCAAAAACGCGAAAAUCCAGCGAUAAACAAUUUUUUCAAAAAUCCAACCACCAGAAAGAUUGAUUGAGUCGUUUGUCACAGUUUAGCGCUGGACAUUUGCCGCGAAGCGUCGGAUCUAUCGAUUCCAAUGGCCGGACGUCAUCUAUUCUAAUGACUUCCCGUCGUACUGAAUGAGAUUUUCAUCGUCCCUCCCCCUCCCCAACCCUCCACCGUCCCCCACAACGCGAAUUCUCUCUAAAAUAAAAUCAAAACCGGGGAAAAAAGGGUCCGACGCCCCGACGUAAAAAAAAUCCCUGAAAUGGUGUGAGCGGACGGAAUGUGAUAAGCGCUCGAUUACGAUUUCCAUUCCAGAUAAGAGACAAUGGGGGGAUGUAGCGUUAACAAAGUGUAUUUAUCCCCUCAUGUACCUCUGUGUUAACGACCUCUCACUAUAUCGAAUUACUUGACAAGGAAAUUGGAGCAAAGAAGCCCUCGCCAACUGAAAUGUCACUUUAAACAGUUGACGAGUGUAAAAAUUCAUGGAAUAAAUCGCCACUGGAUCGUAAAUAAUUUCGGUUGAGUAAAAAAAAAAAAUUCUCAAAAAUCCCCGGCGAAUUCCGCAAACACCGAAAUUAAUCUGGAAAUUGAAAUUCCAGACACGCAGAGACAAGGCAAAUUGCCGGAAUGAAUAGAUUUAAACCGUUAUUCCAACAGAUGCUGAACAAAUGGUCGUGAGGGAAAGAGAAGAAUAAAAAAAAAAAAAUCAUAAAGAAUUUCCGAGUAUUGGGUCGCGUGUCUGACAAAAGGGUCAACCGAGUGAUUUUCUCCCGGUCCAAAGAAGCCCUUUUUAUUCACAACUGAAGAAAAAAGAACGGGAAAAGGAAAAAAAAAAAUAAAAUAGACAAAUUUUCCGCUGCAGUUGUUUCAUUACCCGUGCGCUAUUCGUGUUUCGUGUGGACGUACGCAAGAUGGCGCCACAUGCACCGGCGGUGUGAUUGACUCGCGAUUAGAAUUCAAUGAAACACCUAUUUUAGUCCGACAGAAAAUUAAUGAUCAAAUUUAACCCUAAAUAAUCGACUUACCGGCGCCGCAAGACACGUGGAGAGGAUGAAAUCCAGUUUAACACCUUUGUUAUCACUUUUCACUGGAUUUUAUUGAUAAACAAAUAUUCCGGAAAAAAAUCACUUGUUAAUCCGUGGCUGAGUGAAUUCAAAGAUAAUCCGUUAAUGUGUGGGCACCAAUCACGCUCACACUGAUUAAUUUGUCACUGAUUUUAUGUUUCUUUUUCUUUAUUUAAAUUGUUAGGGAACACUUGAACGCACGUGGACGGUUAAACCUCGGGGGUGAUGAGUGGGAGGGAAUUUAAAU
Long non-coding RNA from Diachasmimorpha longicaudata, 2634 nucleotides. RefSeq lists it as uncharacterized. Lineage: Eukaryota; Metazoa; Arthropoda; Insecta; Hymenoptera; Braconidae. The record is from RefSeq and is a predicted model, not a curated record. The transcript has 2 exons.